RNAcentral lists this ribosomal RNA (435 nucleotides) under uncultured bacterium. RNAcentral's name for it is "partial 16S ribosomal RNA". It matches the Rfam family "Bacterial small subunit ribosomal RNA", at positions 30 to 507 of the family's 1533-position model. The record is from RNAcentral.
AGCGAACGCUGGCGGCAGGCUUAACACAUGCAAGUCGAGCGGGCACUUGCGGGUGUCCGCGGCGGACGGGGGCGGAACGCGGGGGAACGCGCCCGCAGGUGCGGAAUAACUCAGGGAAACUUGAGCUAAUACCGGAUACGACCUCUUGGGGCAAGGCUGGCUGCCGGAGGUACGGCCGGCGCCUGCGUAACCAGUUGGGGCGGGAACGGCUCACCAAGGCGGGGACAAGUAGCCGGUCAGAGAGGAAGAUCAGCCACCCUGGGGCUGGGACACGGCCCAGACUCCUAGGGAAGGCGGCAGUGGGGAAUAUAGGCCAGUGGGGGCUAGCCUGAUCCAGCCAUGCCGGGUGAGUGAUGAAGGCCUUAGGGUUGUAAAGCUAUUUUAUCCGGGGCGAUAAUGACGGUACCGGAAGAAUAAGCCCCGGCUAACUUCGUG